CGACCAUACAUUAAUUAUAUAUGAAAAGAAAUAUCAUUGUUUAGAACAGUUACCAUAGUGAUUUAUACAUGUAAAUAAAACACUUUUGAAUCAACACUGAUAUAGGCAAACGAACACGUUCAUUUGGUGUGCCAUUUCUACUAACAACUGGUGAGGUAUGUAGAUUAAAAAUUUCUGCAUUUAUCAAAAACAGUUUCGCUGCAUAUUGUUUUUGAUUGACAUGAUUGAUGUUAUAUUUUAAAUCGCAAUUAUCAAAAUUUGAUUAAUUAAGUUUUCUAAAUUUAAAUAUCAAUGAAGGUAUUUAUGCUGAAAAACUCGACAUACCUUUAACUGCAAUUAAGGAUCAAUGGUUCGCGUAAGUUUUGUAGUAUAAGCACAGACAUUUAUAAUCUGAGUUUUUCAGCUAAACAUUUUAAUUACGUUGUUUUCUUAACGGAAUAUUAAGCUUCUCAAUGAUCAAAAUUAGUGUUUGUCAAACUGCUAUACAACAGUGUAUUUUUUCUGAUAAAUUGGUUGGUUCAAAUUUUUUGAAAUUUUUAUAUUUUUGUCAAAGGGUCAAAGUAAGUAUUCUAUAAAAAAAAUUAUGAAAACUAAACGAACAAAAUUAAUUUUAGUCAAGAUGUUGGGUACCACCUUAAUACAUUUUUCAUAAUAACAAAAACUUUUGAUAAUGGUUUUAAAAACAAUCCAAGUCCUUAAGCUUUUAUUUUAGUACAGGCAAUUAAUUAAUCUUCAUCUUUAGAUAGGUACUCACCUUAGUAAAUUUACAGUUAAACAGUAUUAAAUAUAGCUAGGUUCAUUAAGUCUGCAUUUGAACAGACACGACAGUUUAUAUCAGUGAUACUUUGGAAAUAGUUUAUUAAUUUUUAACACAAUCAAUACAUUACUUAUAUUCCUUUUGAAAAUUAAAAUAACACGUGAUAUUUAUACGGUAUUUAUACGUGUAAACAAAAUGUGAAACGAAAGAAAAAACCGUCUUAAAAUAUUGCAAAUUUAGGUAAAUGAUCAAAAAUUAAAUAUUUUAUGAGUGUAGUAUCCGUAAAAAAUUGCCUGACGUAUCAUAUGUGACAGCUUAAAUAAUUUUAAAAUGUUUAAGUAUACAAUAGUUACCAAAGGUACCAGGCUUAUAAUUUAAGACGCCAUACACACGUUUCUUUUACGUAAGACUCUUAAGCGACGGUAAGAUCAACAUAGUCAGAAAGCUAAACAAGUAUAAAGUUUAAGAGCAUUGAGGACCCAAACUUCCAAAAAAGUUGUGCCAAAUACGGCUAAGGUAAUCUAUUCCUGGAUAAGAACAUCCUCAAUAUUUUGUAUCAUUAAUACUUUUGCAAACAGUUUUAUGAAAAUGACCAUCCUGUUUAUAUUCAUGUCAACACCGAAGUGCUACAAAAUUUCCCAAAGGAAUAUUUUCAUGUCCCGUUGAAAUAGUGUUUUUUAAAACUUAUCUAUGUUGUAUUAACAUAAUGUUAGUUAAAUGAACACAAAUACCUUCACCAUAACACUCAAUACACUAAUCAUAUCUUUGUUAAAAGAUCUACGAAUUGGAUAUUUUUUUCCAGCUGUUAUCGGGUAUUCUGAGAAUUUUCCCCCUAAACAACAACGAUAAGCCGACAUUCUUUUCAUUAAUCAAAAUAAUUUUUCGUAUGUGACUUAUUAAAAAGUUAUCAAAGGUACCAGGAUUAUAAUUCAAUACUCCAGCAUUAAAGUUAUACAUACAAUGAACAAUGAUAAUGCAGGUAUCUAUUUUUAAGAAAACGUUAGGUGAAUAUCCUAAUACAGAGUUAUGCAUUCGGAAAUUAAGAUUAAGAAAGGAAAUGGGGAAUUUAUCAAAGCCACAACAACCCAACCAUUGAACAGACAACAAUUGUCUUCUUUCUCAAAGUUUGAACGAAAUCAAAAUGUAUGACAGAUUAAUAGAUUUAGUUUGGUUUUAAAUGUCUUAUAAUACAUAAGCUUUAAAGAAGACAUACUGUCGUGUUAGUUGAAAUGGAACACAAUCUUAUACUGAACUAUUGUGUAUUAUUAAAACUUGAUUACGUAAGUCUUUAAAUGUUUGUUUAAAACAUCACAUAACGCUUGAAACCAAUAACAAACGGAUUCAUAACUUAAAUGCUUUUGUUUAGUAUAUAGUUUUAUAGGUUAUUUCAACCUAAACUGUCUAACCGACUUAACAAUAGGUAUGUUUUAUUCAAACUAGAAGGAACAUAGCUUAAAAAAUCGAUACGUAUGUUUUUAAAUAGACAGAAAGCGUGUACGAUAAAAGUAAUGAUUAAAAGAUUAUGCACUGCCAUGAAAUUAGUUAAAUAUACAAAAGAAGAUAUGGUAUGAUUGCGAAUGAGACAACAAUCCACAAGAAACAACAUGAAACACACAUUAACAAAUAAAGUUCAUAUAAGAUUUAUUGUUGCCAAUUGCAAACAUUAUCUUGAAAAUGAUUAAGCAAAUUUAUCUUUUUUUAAAUAGACAGAAAGCGUGUACGAUAAAAGUAAUGAUUAGAAGAUUAUGCACUGCCAUGAAAUUAGUUAAAUAUACAAAAGAAGAUAUGGUAUGAUUGCGAAUGAGACAACAAUCCACAAGAAACAACAUGAAACACACAUUAACAAAUAAAGUUCAUAUAAGAUUUAUUGUUGCCAAUUGCAAACAUUAUCUUUAAAAUGAUUAAGCAAAUCUAUCGAAAUUUAAUGGGAAUUAUUGGCUUUGACUUGGACAAUUACAUCCUGUGUGUAUGUGUUCAUUGCGUAGCGCAAUAAAUGAGAGAGACUCCGUUAUCCUUGAUUUGAUAUUCUAUAACGUCACAAAACCUAACAUAAAUUAACAUACCAGUUGCGCAAAAAGCCAAUACAUGUUUCUUCAUUGAGUCCAAAAUUUAACAAAAAUCAGUUUAGUUAUCAAUGAUGGCCUAUAAAAAGUAUAGUUAUUUUUGGUAAGACACCAGAGCUUUGUAUGGGUAUUUUUCUCUCUCAACUUAUAAAAUAAUAUCGAACUUUUGAUAACGAAAUUUGAAUAUCAUAAAAUAUAUGUGUUCAUGCCAAUACAAUAAUGAGUAACAAGCCACAAGUAGAGGUCUUAACGAAGUGUUAGAUAUAACAUUUACGUUACCAAUUUAUUGACUCAGAUGCGCAGAAAUUUAAGAAGCCAGAAUAUUUGAAAAUCAAAAACUUUUUAAACAAUGAAAAUCCGAAAUGAAAAGACAAUGACGGGAACGUCACCAAAAGGGGAUUUAAUCCUUGAAUUAAAAUUGCUACUUUUGUAUCCGUAUUUUUAAUUCAAGUGUGAUAGUACUGGUUACUCUGUUUUGGGUACCCUCUGGGAGCAGAGAUCGAGACUCGGUGGUAGAAUAACAUGAUAAUAAAUAACACUUCAAAUGAUUUGUCGUUAGCAUGUUCUGUUCAUUAUAUUUCUAUGAAACUAUCAAUACGUAGUACAUAUAUUACCUGCCUUCGGGUUAAGAGAAAUAACAACAUUGUGAUAAUCGUUGCAUUUCAUACAAGUUUUAAUGUCUAAUUUUCUUUCAACAAUGAUAUUCAAAUAGCUAUGAUGAAUUUUUUAUUACUUCAAUAUUAUACAAAUAUAUGUAUAUAGUGCAAAAAAGGAAAUCCUAAAAAUUGUGUUCCUUUGUCCGAUAUACCUGUAUGUACCAAUAACUAUUAGGUGUAUAUUACAUGAUCCUUUUGUAAUGCACUUUUGAAAAUGGCUUCAUACAAUUAAAAUGUCACAAUAUUGUGUAUUUAUAUAAUAUAAAUUGUAGGACUGACGUCUUCUGGAUUGUGCCGUGGACCCCUUAGUAUAAACAUGAAACUGUUACAGACUUGGUAUGGCAUGAAUUCGUUGCUUUACAUAAUUACUGC
This 3848-nucleotide long non-coding RNA is filed under the name Mytilus galloprovincialis (Mediterranean mussel). Lineage: Eukaryota; Metazoa; Mollusca; Bivalvia; Mytilida; Mytilidae. The record is from RNAcentral.